AAGCUUAAAAUCUCCAUGCAAUUUUUGCAUGGCGAAUUGUAGUCUAUAGAGGCGUGAUCAGUGUGAGCACUUUGGGCAAGUUCCUUGGAAGAGGACAGCAUGGAGGGUGAUACUCCCGUUCAUCCCAAAGUUGCUUAUGCGUACGAUCCGUUUUCUUUGAGUCGCGUUGUUUGAGAAUGCAGCGCAAAGUAGGUGGUAAAUUCCAUCUAAAGCUAAAUAUUGGUGCGAGACCGAUAGCAAACAAGUACCGUGAGGGAAAGAUGAAAAGAACUUUGAAAAUAGAGUUAAAGAGUACCUGAAACUGCUGAAAGGUAACCAAAUCGUUUCCAGUGUCUAUAAUCCGUGGUAUAUUUCAUCGACGAGCGUGUUCGUGUGUGUGCUGUUGCAGUUUCCUUUUGGUUACGCUCGGCGUGUAUGCUGUUUAUGCUUGUUGGUGCCCUGUGCUGCGGUGGGACGGUCAAGGUCAAUUCGUAUGCUGCGAGAAAUGACUAUCGAGGAGGUAGGGCUUACCGCUUGCGUUUGUCUGUUAUAUCUUGGUAGACGAGUCGUCGCGGUUGGGAUUGAGGUGCCUACAACGUGCUUUUGAGUGGGCAUGGGUCUCUGUGUGCGCCGUAUGCGGAUAGCUUGCUAUGUGUGUGU
RNAcentral lists this ribosomal RNA (639 nucleotides) under Plasmopara angustiterminalis. RNAcentral describes it as "LSU rRNA". It matches the Rfam family "Eukaryotic large subunit ribosomal RNA", at positions 111 to 616 of the family's 3401-position model. The record is from RNAcentral. Lineage: Eukaryota; Oomycota; Peronosporomycetes; Peronosporales; Peronosporaceae.